CUUGAGCUACUUCAGACAAACAUCAGAGACUCUAGAGACUUUCUAUCUACUGAUCUAGAUGGGCUCCAAAUUACUGUGAGGGGGAUCUUGUCCCAGCUUGAUGCCAUCAGAACUCAACUUCAGUCUAGGCCCUUUGCAUCUAGUGAGCCUAUCUUUGUUCAGCCCAUUGCUUUUCAUCCUCCUGCAUCCUCUUCUCAGACC
Molecule: long non-coding RNA, 201 nt
Filed under: Elaeis guineensis (African oil palm)
Lineage: Eukaryota; Viridiplantae; Streptophyta; Magnoliopsida; Arecales; Arecaceae
Description: long non-coding RNA (EGUI_LNC058586)
Source: RNAcentral